This 279-nucleotide ribosomal RNA is filed under the name Triticum aestivum (bread wheat). RNAcentral's name for it is "partial small subunit ribosomal RNA". Lineage: Eukaryota; Viridiplantae; Streptophyta; Magnoliopsida; Poales; Poaceae. The record is from RNAcentral.
AUGGUGUGCACCGUAGGACUCGCCACCGCAUGCAUGUCGGCCGCUUCGGCCAUCUAUAAAGCGCCGGCGGGCAUCUUCGACGGCCACAGGUGCGCCUACUACUCCUCCGUCGUCUCCGCCGGCGUCAUCGGCCUAGCGGAGGCCUGCGCCGCGGUCAUGUGGUUGUCAGCCGGCGCGGGGCAGCAGCCGCGUCUGGCACGCCGCUGCGUCCUGUGCGCUUCGUUUCUGCCGCUCGCGUUCAUGGCGGGCCUCGGCGGCGUCCGCAUACUCGUCAAGUAG